Molecule: ribosomal RNA, 445 nt
Filed under: uncultured bacterium
Lineage: Bacteria
Description: SSU rRNA
Rfam family: Bacterial small subunit ribosomal RNA
Source: RNAcentral
AGAACGAACGCUGGCGGCAUGCCUAACACAUGCAAGUCGAACGAACCCUUCGGGGUUAGUGGCGCACGGGUGCGUAACGCGUGGGAAUCUGCCCUUUGCUUCGGAAUAACAGUUAGAAAUGGCUGCUAAUACCGGAUGAUGUCGCAAGACCAAAGAUUUAUCGGCAAAGGAUGAGCCCGCGUAGGAUUAGCUUGUUGGUGAGGUAAAAGCUCACCAAGGCGACGAUCCUUAGCUGGUCUGAGAGGAUGAUCAGCCACACUGGGACUGAGACACGGCCCAGACUCCUACGGGAGGCAGCAGUGGGGAAUAUUGGACAAUGGGCGAAAGCCUGAUCCAGCAAUGCCGCGUGAGUGAUGAAGGCCUUAGGGUUGUAAAGCUCUUUACCCGGGAUGAUAAUGACAGUACCGGGAGAAGUAGCUCCGGCUAACUCCGUGCCAGCAGCCGC